This 406-nucleotide ribosomal RNA is filed under the name uncultured bacterium. Its description in RNAcentral is "bacterial SSU rRNA". It matches the Rfam family "Bacterial small subunit ribosomal RNA", at positions 355 to 776 of the family's 1533-position model. The record is from RNAcentral.
UGGGGAAUAUUGCACAAUGGGGGAAACCCUGAUGCAGCAACGCCGCGUGAAGGAUGAAGGUUUUCGGAUUGUAAACUUCUUUAGUCAGGGACGAAUAAAUGACGGUACCUGAAGAAUAAGCCACGGCUAACUACGUGCCAGCAGCCGCGGUAAUACGUAGGUGGCGAGCGUUGUCCGGAAUUACUGGGUGUAAAGGGCGUGUAGGCGGGAAUGUAAGUCAGAUGUGAAAUCCCAGGGCUCAACCCUGGAGCUGCAUCUGAAACUAUGUUUCUUGAGUGUCGGAGAGGAAAGCGGAAUUCCUAGUGUAGCGGUGAAAUGCGUAGAUAUUAGGAGGAACACCAGUGGCGAAGGCGGCUUUCUGGACGAUAACUGACGCUGAGGCGCGAAAGCGUGGGGAGCAAACAGG